RNAcentral lists this ribosomal RNA (554 nucleotides) under Aspergillus fumigatus. RNAcentral describes it as "eukaryotic LSU rRNA". The stretch from base 172 to 325 matches the Rfam family "5.8S ribosomal RNA". Lineage: Eukaryota; Fungi; Ascomycota; Eurotiomycetes; Eurotiales; Aspergillaceae. The record is from RNAcentral.
UCUGGGUCCAACCUCCCACCCGUGUCUAUCGUACCUUGUUGCUUCGGCGGGCCCGCCGUUUCGACGGCCGCCGGGGAGGCCCUGCGCCCCCGGGCCCGCGCCCGCCGAAGACCCCAACAUGAACGCUGUUCUGAAAGUAUGCAGUCUGAGUUGAUUAUCGUAAUCAGUUAAAACUUUCAACAACGGAUCUCUUGGUUCCGGCAUCGAUGAAGAACGCAGCGAAAUGCGAUAAGUAAUGUGAAUUGCAGAAUUCAGUGAAUCAUCGAGUCUUUGAACGCACAUUGCGCCCCCUGGUAUUCCGGGGGGCAUGCCUGUCCGAGCGUCAUUGCUGCCCUCAAGCACGGCUUGUGUGUUGGGCCCCCGUCCCCCUCUCCCGGGGGACGGGCCCGAAAGGCAGCGGCGGCACCGCGUCCGGUCCUCGAGCGUAUGGGGCUUUGUCACCUGCUCUGUAGGCCCGGCCGGCGCCAGCCGACACCCAACUUUAUUUUUCUAAGGUUGACCUCGGAUCAGGUAGGGAUACCCGCUGAACUUAAGCAUAUCAAUAAGCGGAGGAA